GAGAGCCUCCCAGAGGCAGUUUUGUCAUGAAACUAGAUGCCAUCAGUCUCUGGGGGAAUGUGAUGGUGACUUGCUUACUUUGGCAUGUCACGUGUCAUCUGCACUGUGGUUUUCAGUUCUGUCCUGAUGCAGCAGUACUUUGGGGCUAGUGUUCUCCACAGCUGCUGCUGGGCAGGCUUGGAACAUGUGGAGAUCCCAUGGCAUGCUAGGGCAUUUGAUUGAUGUGCAGGAUCAAUCCCUUUCACUGCUCAUUUCAAGGAUGAUUUCAGCUGUGAGAAUCCUUGGUAUCCAGACUCAGCCUGCAAUUCAAUCAAGACCCUUUACCUGUACCUCUGCAAGUUAAGAGAUGUUUGGAGCUGAUCAAAGUAAAAGCUGAUGUACAGAUCUGCAAGUUUAUUCAUUAGUAACAUCUAUAUGUUUGUAAUUAAUAUAUAUAUUUGCCUUUCAUUUUGUAUAUUAUACUGGUAAUAUUACAAAUUGUGGAGUGGGUUUUGUGUGUGUGUGUGUGUUUUUUUUGUUAUUUGGUUUUUUGCAUAUUUUAUUUUAUUUUGUCACUCAACCACGUGUGUUAUAAAUAUUUGGAAUUUUCAGGUGAAACUUUCUGAUUAAUGUCAAUCGCUGGCAAAGGCUCCAACUACGUAUGACCAACGUAUUGUAUUCCUAAUCUCUUCAGAACAAAGGGUCUUGUUCCUUUCUAAAUGUGGUAGUGCACAGGGGAAUGACAUCAAUUAUCUUAAUCAACAUUUCAUAUCCAACAGAACAAGGUUAUUACCAAAGGAAAUUGGUUUUAUUUAAAGAGACAUGCCUGAAUAUUUAAUGUCAAUACUUUCCUCUUGAUUCUCUACUGUUUGUAUAAAAUAUGUGAAGUGCAGUUGUAAAAACAACACGCAAAGAUGUUUUGUGGAAUAAAUGAAAUAAUAAAUGCA
RNAcentral lists this long non-coding RNA (926 nucleotides) under Coturnix japonica (Japanese quail). Its description in RNAcentral is "lncRNA (ENSCJPG00005011867.1)". Lineage: Eukaryota; Metazoa; Chordata; Aves; Galliformes; Phasianidae. The record is from RNAcentral.